RNAcentral lists this non-coding RNA (46 nucleotides) under Trichobilharzia regenti. The record is from RNAcentral. Lineage: Eukaryota; Metazoa; Platyhelminthes; Trematoda; Strigeidida; Schistosomatidae.
GUACUGAUGAAGAGUCCCAAACUAGGACGCAAGAGCUGUCCAGUAC